RNAcentral lists this long non-coding RNA (417 nucleotides) under Rosa chinensis. RNAcentral describes it as "sRNA RchiOBHm_Chr5g0055921". The record is from RNAcentral. Lineage: Eukaryota; Viridiplantae; Streptophyta; Magnoliopsida; Rosales; Rosaceae.
AGGUCCUAAAUCACUGAUAUUCACAAGUUUGAUCCUUAUUUCAAUUACAGAAUCACUCAGGUUGGGUUUGUUCUCUCGUUUGACAUUGGUUGGCAUCGAGUAACCUUCUAUUGAAUUAUGUCUGCUUGAAAGCUAGGAAGUUAUUAUCAUAUGGUGUAUCGGUUUAUCUUAUCAUAUUGUAGCGAUGCUAAGCUAUAUAGAAGAUGACAGUCUUGUUUGUUGGUUACAGUUUCUGACGAAGAAUGGGAGCAUAUAACUUGCAUUCAAAUAUCUCAUAGCUACUUAUUUUGGCAUUUGAUAAUUCCAGGAAUUUUAACUUCUGUUUUGUAGUUGUGUUGGUAACUAAAGAUGCAGAUAAACUGUGUUGCUUCAACAAGAACUAUGACUGGUAACCUUUCUAAUCCAUUGCUGGUUUAA